GACAGAGGGGGCAAGCGUUGCUCGGAAUUACUGGGCGUAAAGGGCGCGUAGGCGGGAUGGCAAGUCGGUCGUGAAAUCCUUCGGCUCAACCGAAGAACGUCGAUCGAUACUGCUGUUCUUGAGGGUUGCAGAGGAGACUGGAAUUCCCGGUGUAGCGGUGAAAUGUGUAGAGAUCGGGAGGAACACCGGUGGCGAAGGCGGGUCUCUGGGCAAUUCCUGACGCUCAGGUGCGAAAGCUAGGGGAGCGAACAGG
RNAcentral lists this ribosomal RNA (253 nucleotides) under uncultured bacterium. RNAcentral's name for it is "partial 16S ribosomal RNA". It matches the Rfam family "Bacterial small subunit ribosomal RNA", at positions 524 to 776 of the family's 1533-position model. The record is from RNAcentral.